Molecule: ribosomal RNA, 863 nt
Filed under: uncultured Hyphomicrobiales bacterium
Lineage: Bacteria; Pseudomonadati; Pseudomonadota; Alphaproteobacteria; Hyphomicrobiales
Description: bacterial SSU rRNA
Rfam family: Bacterial small subunit ribosomal RNA
Source: RNAcentral
AGAGUUUGAUCCUGGCUCAGAACGAACGCUGGCGGCAGGCUUAACACAUGCAAGUCGAACGCUCGUAGCAAUACGGGAGUGGCAGACGGGUGAGUAACGCGUGGGAACAUACCCUCCGGUUCGGAAUAGCUCAGGGAAACUUGGAUUAAUACCGGAUACGGCUGAGAGGCGAAAGAUUUAUCGCCGGAGGAUUGGCCCGCGUUCGAUUAGCUUGUUGGUGAGGUAACGGCUCACCAAGGCGAUGAUCGAUAGCUGGUCUGAGAGGAUGAUCAGCCACAUUGGGACUGAGACACGGCCCAAACUCCUACGGGAGGCAGCAGUGGGGAAUAUUGGACAAUGGGCGCAAGCCUGAUCCAGCCAUGCCGCGUGAGUGAUGACGGCCUUAGGGUUGUAAAGCUCUUUCGCUCGGGACGAUAAUGACGGUACCGAGAUAAGAAGCCCCGGCUAACUUCGUGCCAGCAGCCGCGGUAAUACGAAGGGGGCUAGCGUUGUUCGGAAUUACUGGGCGUAAAGCGCGUGUAGGCGGGUCUUUAAGUCAGAGGUGAAAUGCCAAGGCUCAACCUUGGAACUGCCUUUGAUACUGGAGAUCUUGAGUCCGGGAGAGGUGAGUGGAAUUGCGAGUGUAGAGGUGAAAUUCGUAGAUAUUCGCAAGAACACCAGUGGCGAAGGCGGCUCACUGGCCCGGAACUGACGCUGAGACGCGAAAGCGUGGGGAGCAAACAGGAUUAGAUACCCUGGUAGUCCACGCCGUAAACGAUGGACGCUAGCCGUUGGCAAGCUUGCUUGUCAGUGGCGCAGCUAACGCAUUAAGCGUCCCGCCUGGGGAGUACGGCCGCAAGGUUGAAACUUAAAGGAAUUGACGG